Molecule: transfer RNA, 90 nt
Filed under: Candidatus Bathyarchaeota archaeon
Lineage: Archaea; Thermoproteati; Candidatus Bathyarchaeota
Description: tRNA-Leu
Source: RNAcentral
GUUGGGGUGCAGACCGGCCUAAGAUAAGGGGGAGGACUUAAGAUCCUCUGGCGUAGGCCUUCGUGGGUUCAAAUCCCACCCCCCGCACCA